RNAcentral lists this ribosomal RNA (1331 nucleotides) under metagenome. RNAcentral describes it as "bacterial LSU rRNA". It matches the Rfam family "Bacterial large subunit ribosomal RNA", at positions 1581 to 2925 of the family's 2925-position model. The record is from RNAcentral.
AGUAGCGAAGUUCCUGAUGUCACACUGCCAAGAAAAGCUUCUAGUGAGAAAGUAACUGCCCGUACCGCAAACCGACACAGGUAGUUGAGGAGAGAAUCCUAAGGUGUGCGAGAGAACUCUCGUUAAGGAACUCGGCAAAAUGACCCCGUAACUUCGGGAGAAGGGGUGCUGACCGCAUGGUCAGCCGCAGUGAAUAGGCCCAAGCGACUGUUUAUCAAAAACACAGGUCUCUGCGAAAUCGAAAGAUGACGUAUAGGGGCUGACGCCUGCCCGGUGCUGGAAGGUUAAGAGGAGAGGUUAGCGCAAGCGAAGCUUUGAAUUGAAGCCCCAGUAAACGGCGGCCGUAACAAUAACGGUCCUAAGGUAGCGAAAUUCCUUGUCGGGUAAGUUCCGACCCGCACGAAAGGCGUAACGAUUUGGGCACUGUCUCAACGAGAGACUCGGUGAAAUUAUAGUACCAGUGAAGAUGCCGGUUACCCGCGACAGGACGGAAAGACCCCAUGGAGCUUUACUGCAGUUUGAUAUUGCGUGUUUGUAUCACAUGUACAGGAUAGGUAGGAGCCGAAGAUACCGGGACGCCAGUCUCGGAGGAGGCAACGGUGGGAUACUACCCUUGUGAUAUGACCACUCUAACCCGCUGCUCUUAGCGAGCAGGGAGACAGUGUCAGACGGGCAGUUUGACUGGGGCGGUCGCCUCCAAAAAUGUAACGGAGGCGCCCAAAGGUUCCCUCAGAAUGGUUGGAAACCAUUCGUAGAGUGUAAAGGCAGAAGGGAGCUUGACUGCGAGACCUACAAGUCGAGCAGGGACGAAAGUCGGGCUUAGUGAUCCGGUGGUUCCGCAUGGAAGGGCUAUCGCUCAACGGAUAAAAGCUACCCUGGGGAUAACAGGCUUAUCUCCCCCAAGAGUUCACAUCGACGGGGAGGUUUGGCACCUCGAUGUCGGCUCAUCGCAUCCUGGGGCUGUAGUCGGUCCCAAGGGUUGGGCUGUUCGCCCAUUAAAGCGGUACGCGAGCUGGGUUCAGAACGUCGUGAGACAGUUCGGUCCCUAUCCGUCGCGGGCGUUGGAAAUUUGAGAGGAGCUGUCCUUAGUACGAGAGGACCGGGAUGGACACACCGCUGGUGUACCAGUUGUUCUGCCAAGAGCAUCGCUGGGUAGCUAUGUGUGGACGGGAUAAACGCUGAAAGCAUCUAAGCGUGAAGCCCCCCUCAAGAUGAGAUUUCCCAUCACUUUAAGUGAGUAAGACCCCUGAGAGAUGAUCAGGUAGAUAGGUUGGGAGUGGAAGUACAGCGAUGUAUGGAGCGACCAAUACUAAUCGGUCGAGGACUUAACC